Molecule: ribosomal RNA, 253 nt
Filed under: uncultured bacterium
Lineage: Bacteria
Description: partial 16S ribosomal RNA
Rfam family: Bacterial small subunit ribosomal RNA
Source: RNAcentral
UACGUAGGGUGCAAGCGUUGUCCGGAAUUAUUGGGCGUAAAGAGCGUGUAGGCGGCCCGACCAGUCCGCUGUGAAAGUCCAGGGCUCAACCUCGGAUCGGCCGUGGCGACUCGUGGGCUGGAGCACUGUAGAGGCGGGUGGAAUUCCGGGUGUAGCGGUGGAAUGCGUAGAGAUCCGGAAGAACACCAGUGGCGAAGGCGGCCCGCUGGGCAGUGGCUGACGCUGAGGCGCGACAGCGUGGGGAGCAAACAGG